This 288-nucleotide unclassified non-coding RNA is filed under the name uncultured fungus. Its description in RNAcentral is "partial contains small subunit ribosomal RNA, internal transcribed spacer 1, and 5.8S ribosomal RNA". The stretch from base 1 to 73 matches the Rfam family "Eukaryotic small subunit ribosomal RNA", at positions 1759 to 1831 of the family's 1831-position model. The record is from RNAcentral. Lineage: Eukaryota; Fungi.
GCAAACUUGGUCAUUUAGAGGAAGUAAAAGUCGUAACAAGGUUUCCGUAGGUGAACCUGCGGAAGGAUCAUUAAAAGAAUUAGAGAUUUAGGUCUCAAAUUCCCAAUCCUUUGUUUAAUUAUCACUUAAGUUGCUUUGGUGUAUGGCUUAACUAAUAUUAAGUGCCUGCCAAAAGCCUAAUUAAAAAUUCUUAGUCCUAAUGGUGUCAUGUCUAAAUCUUAAUUAAAAAAUUUAAAUAAAACUUUCAACAACGGAUCUCUUGGUUCUGGCAUCGAUGAAGAACGCAGC